GUUCAAAGCAAACAGUUAAAGCAUUUUACUGCGUUUGAAUACUACAGCAUGGAAUAACAAAAUUGAACAAGUCAAAACUCUGUUCYUUUUUCUUAUUUUGGCUUAGUUACGAUUAAUAGGAGUAGCUUGGGGGCAUUUGUAUUCAGAUGUCAGAGGUGAAAUUCUUAGAUUUUCUGGAGACAAACAACUGCGAAAGCAUUUGCCUAAA
RNAcentral lists this ribosomal RNA (208 nucleotides) under Plasmodium ovale (malaria parasite P. ovale). Its description in RNAcentral is "partial 18S ribosomal RNA". It matches the Rfam family "Eukaryotic small subunit ribosomal RNA", at positions 784 to 974 of the family's 1831-position model. The record is from RNAcentral. Lineage: Eukaryota; Apicomplexa; Aconoidasida; Haemosporida; Plasmodiidae.